RNAcentral lists this ribosomal RNA (804 nucleotides) under human gut metagenome. RNAcentral's name for it is "bacterial SSU rRNA". It matches the Rfam family "Bacterial small subunit ribosomal RNA", at positions 8 to 823 of the family's 1533-position model. The record is from RNAcentral.
AGGGUUCGAUUCUGGCUCAGGAUGAACGCUGGCGGCGUGCUUAACACAUGCAAGUCGAACGGGAUCCACCGGGCUUUGCUUGGUGGUGAGAGUGGCGAACGGGUGAGUAAUGCGUGACCGACCUGCCCCAUACACCGGAAUAGCUCCUGGAAACGGGUGGUAAUGCCGGAUGCUCCAGUUGAUCGCAUGGUCUUCUGGGAAAGCUUUCGCGGUAUGGGAUGGGGUCGCGUCCUAUCAGCUUGACGGCGGGGUAACGGCCCACCGUGGCUUCGACGGGUAGCCGGCCUGAGAGGGCGACCGGCCACAUUGGGACUGAGAUACGGCCCAGACUCCUACGGGAGGCAGCAGUGGGGAAUAUUGCACAAUGGGCGCAAGCCUGAUGCAGCGACGCCGCGUGAGGGAUGGAGGCCUUCGGGUUGUAAACCUCUUUUAUCGGGGAGCAAGCGAGAGUGAGUUUACCCGUUGAAUAAGCACCGGCUAACUACGUGCCAGCAGCCGCGGUAAUACGUAGGGUGCAAGCGUUAUCCGGAAUUAUUGGGCGUAAAGGGCUCGUAGGCGGUUCGUCGCGUCCGGUGUGAAAGUCCAUCGCUUAACGGUGGAUCCGCGCCGGGUACGGGCGGGCUGGAGUGCGGUAGGGGAGACUGGAAUUCCCGGUGUAACGGUGGAAUGUGUAGAUAUCGGGAAGAACACCAAUGGCGAAGGCAGGUCUCUGGGCCGUUACUGACGCUGAGGAGCGAAAGCGUGGGGAGCGAACAGGAUUAGAUACCCUGGUAGUCCACGCCGUAAACGGUGGAUGCUGGAUGU